Molecule: ribosomal RNA, 403 nt
Filed under: uncultured bacterium
Lineage: Bacteria
Description: bacterial SSU rRNA
Rfam family: Bacterial small subunit ribosomal RNA
Source: RNAcentral
UUGGGAAUCUUGGACAAUGGGCGAAAGCCUGAUCCAGCCAUGCCGCGUGAGUGAUGAAGGCCUUAGGGUUGUAAAGCUCUUUUGCCAGGGAAGAUAAUGACUGUACCUGGAGAAUAAGCCCCGGCUAACUUCGUGCCAGCAGCCGCGGUAAUACGAAGGGGGCUAGCGUUGUUCGGAAUUACUGGGCGUAAAGCGUGCGCAGGCGGUUUCUCAAGUCAGGGGUGAAAGCCCGGAGCUCAACUCCGGAAUUGCCCUUGAAACUGUGAAGCUCGAGUGCGGGAGAGGUGAGUGGAAUUCCCAGUGUAGAGGUGAAAUUCGUAGAUAUUGGGAAGAACACCGGUGGCGAAGGCGGCUCACUGGCCCGUUUCUGACGCUCAUGCACGACAGCGUGGGGAUCAAACAG